RNAcentral lists this ribosomal RNA (386 nucleotides) under uncultured bacterium. Its description in RNAcentral is "bacterial SSU rRNA". It matches the Rfam family "Bacterial small subunit ribosomal RNA", at positions 42 to 453 of the family's 1533-position model. The record is from RNAcentral.
UCAGGCCUAACACAUGCAAGUCGUACGAGAGUUUUUAACUCUAGUGGCGGACGGGUGAGUAACACGUGAGAAUUUGCCUUUAGGAGGGGGACAACAAUUGGAAACGAAUGCUAAUACCCCAUAUGCUUUCGAGUGAAAUGGAUUUUAUCCGCCUAGAGAGAAGCUCGCGGCUGAUUAGCUUGUUGGUAAGGUAAGAGCUUACCAAGGCGACGAUCAGUAUCUGGUUUGAGAGGACGAUCAGACACACUGGAACUGAGACACGGUCCAGACUCCUACGGGAGGCAGCAGUGGGGAAUUUUCCGCAAAGGGCGAAAGCCUGACGGAGCAAUACCGCGUGAGGGAAAAAGGCCUAUGGGUUGUAAACCUCUUUUUCAGGGAGGAAAAAA